This 253-nucleotide ribosomal RNA is filed under the name uncultured bacterium. RNAcentral's name for it is "partial 16S ribosomal RNA". It matches the Rfam family "Bacterial small subunit ribosomal RNA", at positions 524 to 776 of the family's 1533-position model. The record is from RNAcentral.
UACGAGGGGUGCAAACGUUAUUCGGAUUUACUGGGUGUAAAGGGUGUGUAGACGGUGUAUUAAGUUCGUUGUUAAAUCUUCCGGCCUAACUGGAAGCCUGCGAUGAAAACUAAUACGCUUGAGGAUGGAAGAGAGAAGUGGAAUUCUCGGAGUAGCGGUAAAAUGCGUAGAUCUCGAGAGGAACACCGAUGGCGAAGGCAGCUUCUUGGUCCAUUCCUGACGUUGAGACACGAAAGCGUGGGGAGCAAACAGG